Molecule: long non-coding RNA, 86 nt
Organism: Xenia sp. Carnegie-2017
Lineage: Eukaryota; Metazoa; Cnidaria; Anthozoa; Malacalcyonacea; Xeniidae
Exons: 3
Source: RefSeq, a predicted model, not a curated record
ACGCAAAGUACAUGUGAGCCUAGGUCACACUAUCGUCCAUAUCGAGGAAAAUCAGAACGAAAACUGCCGCAACGAAAAUUUUGAAC